Molecule: unclassified non-coding RNA, 197 nt
Filed under: uncultured fungus
Lineage: Eukaryota; Fungi
Description: sequence contains ITS1
Source: RNAcentral
GUAUAAAUUAUAUAGGCACAACAUUCUAUUAACAUACAUUGGGGUAAAAAUGAAGCAACAUAGACCUGAAAGGUCUACAAAAAGUGCACAGGUGGAGAUAUAAAGAUGACAAGGCGUGCACAUGCUCCCUAGAGAGCCAGCAACAACCCAUCAGGUUUAUUUCAAUAAUGAUCCUUCCGCAGGUUCACCUACGGAAA